RNAcentral lists this ribosomal RNA (1424 nucleotides) under Sphaenorhynchus carneus. Its description in RNAcentral is "partial 16S ribosomal RNA". It matches the Rfam family "Bacterial large subunit ribosomal RNA", at positions 157 to 2597 of the family's 2925-position model. Lineage: Eukaryota; Metazoa; Chordata; Amphibia; Anura; Hylidae. The record is from RNAcentral.
GCUAAAAACUUAGCCCACCUCAACUAAUGCAUAAACAAAAAUAUAAUUUAAUAAUUAAAACAUUUUUUUUAUUUAGUAAAGGCGAUUGAAAAAUUUUAAUGGCGCUAUAAAAAUAGUACCGCAAGGGAAAAGUGAAAUAUUAAUGAAAAACUUUAAGCAUUAAAAAGUAAAGAAUUUACCUUGUACCUUUUGCAUCAUGAUUUAACUAGUAAAACCGAGCAAAACGACUUAUAGUUCAACCCCCCGAAACUAAGCGAGCUACUUAUAGACAACCUAUUGGGUAAACCCGUCUCUGUUGCAAAAGAGUGGGAAGAUCUAAAAGUAGCGGUGAUAGACCUAACGAGCUUAGUGAUAGCUGGUUAUUCAAGAAAAGAAUUUAAGUUCUACCUAAAGUUUUUCUAUUUAAUAGUAAAAUUAUUUUUAACUUUAGAGCUAUUUAAAUAAGGUACAGCCUAUUUAAAACAGGAGACAACCUAAUCUAAUGGGUAAUAUAAUAAAAAUUAACAAAGUAGGCCUAAAAGCAGCCACCUUUAAAACAGCGUCAAAGCUUAAUUAAGUGUUUUAACAACAUUCUUAACACAACAUUUAACCCUUUAUUUUUAUUGAAUAACUCUAUAACCUUAUAGAAAUUAUUAUGUUAAAACUAGUAAUAAGAAGAAAGAACUUCUCUUUAAUGUAAGUGUAAAUCAACUAGGACAAACCGUUGAUAAUUAACAUUAAUAAACAAAUAUUAGUAACUUCUCAAGAAAACUCUAAUAAUUAAUAUGUUAACCUGACACAAGAACAUUACAAGAAAGAUUAAAAGAAAAAGAAGGAACUCGGCAAACAUUAACCUCGCCUGUUUACCAAAAACAUCGCCUCUUGUUAAAACAUAGGAGGUCCAGCCUGCCCAGUGACCCUGUUUAACGGCCGCGGUAUCCUAACCGUGCGAAGGUAGCGUAAUCACUUGUUCUUUAAAUAAGGACUAGUAUGAAUGGCACCACGAAGGUUAUACUGUCUUCUUUUUUUAAUCAAUGAAACUAAUCUUCCCGUGAAGAAGCGGGAAUUUUUAUAUAAGACGAGAAGACCCUAUGGAGCUUUAAUCUUUCUGUUAUUUGCUAAAGAAUUUUAAAAUUUCUGAAUUACACAAAUUAUUCCAGCCCUUUAAUAGUCAGCUUUAGGUUGGGGUGACCGCGGAGUAAAAAACAACCUCCACAUUGAAAGGAUAAGAUGUCCUGAGUAACAAACUACAAUUUUAUACACCAUAAAAAUGACAUUUAUUGACCCAAUAUUUUGAUCAACGAACCAAGUUACCCUAGGGAUAACAGCGCAAUCCACUUCAAAAGCUCCUAUCGACAAGUGGGUUUACGACCUCGAUGUUGGAUCAGGGUAUCCCAGUGGUGCAGCCGCUACUAAAGGUUCGUUUGUUCAACGAUUAAAACCCU